UGUCGUCGUGGGGGGAGGGAUUCCUGAGAACCGGGUGCGGCCCGGGACCCCUCGAACCUGACCUGGAUAAUCCCAGCGAAGGGAACACGGCGAGCACGAUGG
Candidatus Rokubacteria bacterium GWA2_73_35 is the source of this 102-nucleotide non-coding RNA. NCBI's taxonomy places the organism in Bacteria, Candidatus Rokuibacteriota. The record is from Rfam.